GUGAAUCAUCAAAUUUUUGAACGCAAAUUGCACUCUCUUCUGAGAGUAUGCCUGUUUGAGGGUCAGUAUUAAUAAAAUCGGGGUGUUGCUUUCUUUGUGACGCACCGGAGAUUGGGCUGCCUUUAACUCUCGGUUUUAAGAUGCUUAAAAUCGAACUUUUUUGCGCUCUUUUAGACGUACAUAAAUUUAUAUUAUCGUUUAUUUUGGAGCCACUUAUCUAUUAUGUGCGAUCAUGUUAUAU
RNAcentral lists this unclassified non-coding RNA (241 nucleotides) under Glomeraceae sp. RNAcentral's name for it is "partial contains 5.8S ribosomal RNA and internal transcribed spacer 2". The stretch from base 1 to 65 matches the Rfam family "5.8S ribosomal RNA", at positions 84 to 154 of the family's 154-position model. Lineage: Eukaryota; Fungi; Glomeromycota; Glomeromycetes; Glomerales; Glomeraceae. The record is from RNAcentral.